GCCUAUAUAAAGAGAGCAGUUACCUGCUGCCAGGCCAGGCAGAAACAUUGCUUGGCUGCAAGGCUGCAUGCAAUAUCCUGGAGCUAGAUCCUGACCCAGACCCAGGAUGCACAAGAUGGGGACCGCUCAGAUGAGUCUCAUUGACUGAGUGGACACAGAUGAACAAAUACCAGCUGAUUGUAAAUUUCAGCAACUCUGGGAGGAAAAGAUUACAGUGUUAGCUCUGGCCGACAAGAACUCAGGAGGUUCCAGCACCGAUGCUGUCCCAAGGACAUGAAGAGAUGCUCCUGCUCGGAGGUUGUCCCAUAGCUGAAAAUGUUAGUGGGACCAGCAAGGUCAGAUGCUGAAGAGCCUUGUGGAGUUCUUCACAUGCUGAGCCAAUGCAAUGGACAGCUGGUUUUCUGCUAGGAGGCAGACCUGUAGAUAAGGGACUUGGGCUGAACCAAAAGCCACCCUACAGUACAUUUACCACAACUGUACACUUUGUCCACUUUGCAUAGAUUAUUUGAGAAAAUAAAGCUUGAACAGUUGUAACAUUUGU
Alligator mississippiensis (American alligator) is the source of this 541-nucleotide long non-coding RNA. RefSeq lists it as uncharacterized. NCBI's taxonomy places the organism in Eukaryota, Metazoa, Chordata, Crocodylia, Alligatoridae. The transcript is spliced from 3 exons. The record is from RefSeq and is a predicted model, not a curated record.